RNAcentral lists this long non-coding RNA (762 nucleotides) under Homo sapiens (human). Its description in RNAcentral is "non-protein coding lnc-LONRF1-1:4". The record is from RNAcentral. Lineage: Eukaryota; Metazoa; Chordata; Mammalia; Primates; Hominidae.
CCAUGCUUUCAGCACUACUGGCAAGCAAAGUGUUCACUGAUGAAUGAACAAUUACAUUUACCCACAGACUGAAAUAUGAUGUUAUUUUGUUUUGACUGAAAUUCCAACUCACUGUGAGAAUACUGUGAAAAAAAUCAUGAGAAGUAUCCUCAUAGGUGAGUCUUUUCACACAUCUGCACUAGUGAAUAUCUGAAUUUUAAAAGCCACUCCAGACCUACAUAGGUGAUGAACGAUGUGUACUUGAAAACAGUACACUCUUGCACAGCUGUCCCUGGAGCUUCCCCGUGGAGCUGUUAAACUUGCCCUCCGCUGGCUGUUUUCCACAAAGUAAUAUGGUUACAUAGAUUCACGGCUCAUGGCAAUGUUUCAUUAAGACAGUUCUUGAUGGCCGCUCCACACCUUUCUCACCACAUCUCACAGGCUGCCCUGCUGAGCCAGGUCUCCCUGGAACCCGGGGCUCCUGCGCAGGCCCCCAUUUUGCUCCAGAACACCCAGGAAGGCGGGGCUUGGGCUGGAAUGGGGACACCGAUUACCCUCUGUUCAGGCCUUUGGUGCCAGCUGAGGUCGAUACUGGUGCCAGGAUCGAGACUGUGCGCAUCCCAUCGAGAGCGGGCAGAUGUGGGGGCGCACUGGACCGGGCCUCCCAGGCUGACACCCAUUCACAGCAGCCUGAGCCUAAUCCGCCACUGCUCGCCUUCCUCCGACGUCUCCACCUAAACCAUCCUUCUGCACAUUGUGACCCAUCACUCCGCCCUUUGUCCA